UACGGAGGAGGCAAGCGUUAUCCGGAAUUAUUGGGCGUAAAGCGUCCGUAGGUGGUUUAGUAAGUCUGCUGUUAAAGCGCGGGGCUUAACUCCGUAUCGGCAGUGGAAACUACUAGACUAGGGUGUGGUAGGGGUAGAGGGAAUUCCCAGUGUAGCGGUGAAAUGCGUAGAUAUUGGGAAGAACACCGGUGGCGAAGGCGCUCUACUGGGCCAUAACUGACACUGAUGGACGAAAGCGAGGGGAGCGAAAGGG
This 253-nucleotide ribosomal RNA is filed under the name uncultured bacterium. RNAcentral's name for it is "partial 16S ribosomal RNA". It matches the Rfam family "Bacterial small subunit ribosomal RNA", at positions 524 to 776 of the family's 1533-position model. The record is from RNAcentral.